This 468-nucleotide ribosomal RNA is filed under the name uncultured bacterium. Its description in RNAcentral is "partial 16S ribosomal RNA". It matches the Rfam family "Bacterial small subunit ribosomal RNA", at positions 28 to 507 of the family's 1533-position model. The record is from RNAcentral.
GAUGAACGCUGGCGGCGUGCUUAACACAUGCAAGUCGAACGGUGAAGGCGGAGCUUGCUCUGCUGGAUCAGUGGCGAACGGGUGAGUAACACGUGAGCAAUCUGCCCCUGACUCUGGGAUAAGCGCUGGAAACGGCGUCUAAUACUGGAUACGAGCUGCGAAGGCAUCUUCAGCAGCUGGAAAGAACCUCGGUCAGGGAUGAGCUCGCGGCCUAUCAGCUUGUUGGUGAGGUAACGGCUCACCAAGGCGUCGACGGGUAGCCGGCCUGAGAGGGUGACCGGCCACACUGGGACUGAGACACGGCCCAGACUCCUACGGGAGGCAGCAGUGGGGAAUAUUGCACAAUGGGCGAAAGCCUGAUGCAGCAACGCCGCGUGAGGGACGACGGCCUUCGGGUUGUAAACCUCUUUUAGCAGGGAAGAAGCGAAAGUGACGGUACCUGCAGAAAAAGCGCCGGCUAACUACGUG